This 439-nucleotide ribosomal RNA is filed under the name uncultured bacterium. RNAcentral describes it as "partial 16S ribosomal RNA". It matches the Rfam family "Bacterial small subunit ribosomal RNA", at positions 339 to 795 of the family's 1533-position model. The record is from RNAcentral.
CUACGGGUGGCAGCAGUGAGGAAUAUUGCACAAUGGGGGGAACCCUGAUGCAGCAACGCCGCGUGGAGGAUGACGCAUUUCGGUGUGUAAACUCCUUUUAUGAGUCAAGAAAAUGACGGUAGCUCAUGAAUAAGCGCCGGCUAACUCCGUGCCAGCAGCCGCGGUAAUACGGAGGGCGCAAGCGUUACUCGGAAUCACUGGGCGUAAAGGACGCGUAGGCGGGAUAUCAAGUCAGGUGUGAAAUCCUACAGCUUAACUGUAGAACUGCACUUGAAACUGGUAACCUAGAGUAUGGGAGGGGCAGAUGGAAUUAGUGGUGUAGGGGUAAAAUCCGUAGAUAUCACUAGGAAUACCUAAAGCGAAGGCGAUCUGCUGGAACAUAACUGACGCUAAGGCGUGAAAGCGUGGGGAGCAAACGGGAUUAGAUACCCUGGUAGUC